Molecule: long non-coding RNA, 1090 nt
Organism: Anopheles stephensi (Asian malaria mosquito)
Lineage: Eukaryota; Metazoa; Arthropoda; Insecta; Diptera; Culicidae
Exons: 2
Source: RefSeq, a predicted model, not a curated record
AGUACAAGAGCAUCGUUCGGGGAACACGAGCGCGACCGGAUGUUGACGGUCGGCCGGUAUUACUCCCCGGGCAGCACGUCAAAACAUGAUGCCAGCAAGAAACGCGCUGGAUCAGUUGUAAGUGAGCCGUUUUGCAGUAGAAAGCAUUAAGGCUCGGUGCCGUGUGGCGUUCCGUGUGUGUUCCGAUGUGAUCCGUUCCGAGCACGAUACGCGGUGGGUGGAUGCGUUCCCAGCGUUGGGGAUGCAUCCGCUGGUGAAUUAUUUGUUUGUUUUUAAGUUUCUUGUGUAUUUUUAAUCUGGAAAGUGUUCAUUUUAUAAUUAUAGUCAUCGAAAGUGUUCAAGCAUUUCAAGCCGGCUUGAAAACCGCUCCUGCAAACAUCAAGCAUCGAACUUGGACAUCAAGUCAGCUGACUUCAAUGCUGGGUGGUUCCAGGAUAUUUGCUGUGAAUCGCAUUCCAUGGCGCUGGCUCACGCGAGUAGCAUCAGCAUGGAAGCGAGCAUCCAGACGCAAGACAUCGGGCCGCAUCAAGGAAGGUUGAAGGACUCGGGGACUCGGCCGGCGUAUGCAGGCUAGAAGCACCCGAACUUUGGCUGAUCCCAGGACGAGAUGAAGCUGUCAGUAUUAAUCAGCCAGCCGAGGCCGGCGCUAACCGUAAAAUAUCUUCUGCAGGAGGGCGCAGUGCCCUGCUUCCGUAGGUAGGAAAGCCGGUGGAAAUAUCUCGCCCAUUUGUUAGUCGCAUCUUUCAGGCACCUUAGUGUGUAGGACGCUGUACUGUAAUGCUGCUGGAGCAAACAAAUUCGGAAAGCCAGUAUCCACUGUAAAUUUGCAACAAGAAAAAAAAACCGUUUCACAACACAACGAACUUACCGCGGGACAUCCGUCCGGUGGACGGAACUUAGGAAUAGGUUCCGGACGCUCCCCCUCCCUAGGAUGUACCGUGGGCUUAGAGCCGUGCUAGUAGUAGUAAGAACCCAUUAUUCCAUCUUUCUAUCGCUUUCGGUGUGCAUGCUCAACGGAAUACUGUAGCGUAAGGUAAAUAAAUGUCUAAUUAUGCCAAAUGAAGGAUGAGUCCUUUACUUGCUUUAUGAA